RNAcentral lists this ribosomal RNA (464 nucleotides) under uncultured bacterium. RNAcentral's name for it is "SSU rRNA". It matches the Rfam family "Bacterial small subunit ribosomal RNA", at positions 26 to 518 of the family's 1533-position model. The record is from RNAcentral.
AGGAUAAACGCUGGCGGCGUGCUUCAGGCAUGCAAGUCGAACGAGCGCUUUGGCGCUAGUGGCGGACGGGUGAGUAACACGUAAGUAACCUGCCCGGAAGUGGGGAAUAACUGACCGAAAGGUUAGCUAAUACCGCAUACGAUGGUCCCUCCCUGGAGGGGUCAUCAAAGGCGAAAGUCGCUUCCGGAGGGGCUUGCGGCCGAUUAGCUUGUUGGUGGGGUAAUGGCCUACCAAGGCUGCGAUCGGUAGCUGGUCUGAGAGGACGGACAGCCACACGGGGGACUGAGAUACGGCCCCGACUCCUACGGGAGGCAGCAGUGGGGAAUCUUGCGCAAUGGGCGAAAGCCUGACGCAGCAACGCCGCGUGGGGGAUGAAGGCUCUCGGGUUGUAAACCCCUUUCAGUGGGGACGAAAUUGACGGUACCCACAGAAGAAGCCCCGGCCAACUACGUGCCAGCAGCCGC